Molecule: long non-coding RNA, 3011 nt
Filed under: Homo sapiens (human)
Lineage: Eukaryota; Metazoa; Chordata; Mammalia; Primates; Hominidae
Description: HSALNT0186505
Source: RNAcentral
CUCCUAUGAAUUCCAGUCAUUAGCAGUCUAAUUAAAAAUUCAAGACGUGGCCCUGUGGGAAAAAGCAAAGAGAAAGAAAAACAAAACACACAUGAAUGCAAAUAAGUCCAGUAUAAAAGAGUUCACUGUGUGUAGGGAUAUGCAGAAUAUGGAGAAUAGCACCAGUCCUUACAGAAUAUAUUUUUGAGUUCUGUUAAGAAGUCAAAAUGAAGAAUUUGUAUUUGCUUGGAAGAAAAGGAAAAGAGCAUCUCCAGAGGAGUGCAUGACACAGGCAAAAGCCCAAAGCAAAUUCUGUAGAAUCUGGCUAUGGCAACCCGCCAGAAUGAAAGUUAAUGAGCAAAAAGCAUGAAAUCUGUAUUAGUUCCCAAUAGCUGCAUAGCCGACUGAGGGCUGGAAUCAGCUGAAAUUCACUCUCUCACGUCUGACAGCAAGGCUGCUGUGUGCUGAGACCGUCGCUGGGGCUGACAGCCGCUUUAUGUGUUCUCUUCACAUAAGCCAGCUUGAGCUUCUUGAAAACAUGAUGGAUAGCUUUCCAAGAAGAUCAAACUCUCCCAAAAAGUAGAGAUUAAACAACAACUAAAGAUGGCGAAUCAUAGAAGUUACCACCAUUCCUGGUAUUGGUCCCAGUUCUUCUAAGAAUAUUUUUGAUGCAAGAGCUGUUUUAUCUUGAAUCCUACAUAGCUUAUUUUCCAUUUUUCCAUUCAAAUAAAACAACAAGAGAACAAUAGAGUGAAGAAAAAGGAUGUUUAAGCCUAAAUCCAAGACUGAGGUACAAGACCAAGAAAAGUGGGGCAGAAGAUGGAAAAGAACAAGUGAAGAAUCUUGGAAACAAUUCAAAGAAGGAGACUUGCUCUGUUGCCCAGUCUGGAGUGCAGUGGCACAAUCUCAGCACACUGCAACUUCCACCUCCUGUGUUCAAGUGAUUCUCCUGCCUCAGCCUCCUGAGUAUCUGGGAUUACAGGCCAACCCUGCUUAUUCCUGUAAACCAACCAGUGAUCUCUGGCUGCUGCUUAGAAGAAACAAGAGGGAUGGCUAAUUAAACAGGUUGAAGUAAAGGAGCCAGCCCAAACCCACCAAAACCAAAAUGGUGACGAGAGUGACAUCUGGUCGUCCUCACUGCUACACUCCCACCAGCACCACGACAGUUUACAAAUUCUAUGACAAUGUCAGGAAGUUACCCUAUGUGGUCUAAAAAGAGGAGGCAUGAAUAAUCCACCCCUUGUUUAGCAUAUCAUCAAGAAAUAACCAUAAAAAUAGGCAAUCUGCAGCCCCCAGGCUGCUCUGUCUAUGGAGUAGCUGUUCUUUUUUUCUUUUACUUUCUUAAUAAACUUCCUUUCACUUUGCACUGCAGACUCGCCCUGAAUUCUUUCUUGCAUGAGAUCCAAGAACCCUCUCUUGGGGUCUGAAUUCAGACCCUUGUCAUGUAACAACCAGAGCACCCCCGGGUUUAUAUUUAGUGAUCCUUUCAUUCCCUCAUACAAAUGCUCAUUAUGUAACAAGUCAGAAACAGCUUUUCUAGUCUUUUAUAUGUGGUAUAAUCAUUAUGACUUAAAUACACAAUGUGGGUGUCAUAAGGCAGAAUUUUGUAGGUGUUUUAACAGAUACAUAAAAGGGAGAAGUAAAUUUGGACUAGGAAAAUCCAGAUAAGCUCCAUGAAGAAGACUGCUGGAGAGUUAAGCUUUGAAGGAUGAGUGAGGGUGUAAGAAGCAGACAUAGGAGACAGGACAUUCCAGGUAUUGGAGGGUCCCAAUGCCAUGUGAAGUAUGGGAAAGGGACUAUUAAAUGUGUUGGAUACUUCAAAAUAAUGUUACAUCUUCAUAGCUAUGUUAUAUUCUCUUGACGUGUGUUGCAAGUUGCUGGAAUAUUUUACUGACACCCUGUAGCUAAGAUUUUUUUCCAGACUCAAAGAUAACUAGUGGGCUGGCCAGUGGUCUAGGAAAUAAUCAGGCAGGUGAUUUCAGCAUAAUGAGUUAAGUGGAUACAGCCCCUGGCUGAGGGCUAUUCUUAUGUGACACUGGCAGAGUUUCAGAACUACUUAGGUGGGCUUAAGCAUUUAUUUAUUAUCUUUUAUGUUCUAGGCACUAUUGUAGGCAGUGGAAAUGUGGCAAUAGACAAGCUGUGGCUCUGCUUUCCUGGCGGUAACAUUCCAAUACAUAAGAGGGACACUAAAAAGGUAAAUAAAAAAUACACUGAUUUUAGCUGAUCUCAUUUCACAGAGGUCAGCGCACUCUCCCCUCUCUGAGAGUGUUACUAUGCUUAAUAAACUUUUGCUGCUUUGCUGAAAAAAAAAAGUGAAUACAUUGAUUUCAAGGUAACUCACGUUGUUUCAUGAUAUAUAAAAAAUAAAAACAGGUUGUUGUGAUAAGGGAAGUGAUGGAUGGAAAUGCCCCUCCAGGGAACAACUUUUUAGUAAGAUCUAAAUAAUAGGAAGACACGUGAAAAGAAGCCAGUAGGCAGAAAUCAUGAGGAAGCAAAACUAGGCAAUCAGAAACAGAAGAGAGGUAAAAACAGGUGGAGAGAAGACACAGAGAACUCAACUAACCAGAAGGGCUGUUGGGUUUCCAGAACUAUUGCUUGAAUUUUGACUUCUAGGGUCCCUGUUGGCUCCUGAAUAGAUGCAUAAGUAGAUGCAUAUGCUCCAUUUUCCAUCUUUAUUCUGUUAUAAUAUAUUCCUAUCUAUCUAACAUCUAAUGAUCUAUUGAUCUAACUGUCCAUCCAUCCAAUCAUUUUCAUAUUGUGGGACAGUUAGGUUGCUGCCAGUUUUUAGCAACACAAGGAGCAAGACAGCAGUGAACAUUCUUGUACACACUUUAUCAAGUACAUGGUAUGGGAUUUUUGCAUGUACCUGGAAUUGAAACUGCUGGGUGGUAAAGGAUGUCUACCUUUAACUUGAUAAAAACCUGCAAAAUUGUUUUCCAAAGUUUUUACAAAUAAAUUUACUUCUCCACAAGAAAUGUACACUUGGCAUUAUCAGACUUCAAAAUUUUUUCCAAUCUAAUGGUGUGAAAUGG